UGGAGCUAAACUCUGCAGGACACAGGCACCUCCAGGAUCAAGUUUGGUGACCCCUUCUCUAAUGUGAAGUGCAGCUUUGGCUUUUCCAAUCACAAUUGGGAACAGUUCAAAAGCAGGAGGAUAGUUGCCAGUGAAGGAUCGGGGACUGUGAUCUCCUUUUCUUCCAGCUGACUAAUGUAAUAAGUCACUCAUGAGCAAAGAUGGCAGAUUUCAAACCACAUACUUCUGUGGAGUCCUGCAUCAGUUGAUCAACUACAGGUCUUCAAACAUCUUCAGUAUGGGAAUGGAGAUUCUCUCUGUAACAGGCUGCUCUGGACUUCUGGAGAGGAUAACGCACUCGCCGUGUCUAGAGAGAGAAUUUCACAUUGAAAUGGGUCCAUUUGGCACUACAGCAAAG
This is a long non-coding RNA of Onychostoma macrolepis, 397 nucleotides long. RefSeq lists it as uncharacterized. The transcript is spliced from 4 exons. NCBI's taxonomy places the organism in Eukaryota, Metazoa, Chordata, Actinopteri, Cypriniformes, Cyprinidae. The record is from RefSeq and is a predicted model, not a curated record.